RNAcentral lists this ribosomal RNA (121 nucleotides) under Castor canadensis (American beaver). The record is from RNAcentral. Lineage: Eukaryota; Metazoa; Chordata; Mammalia; Rodentia; Castoridae.
GCCAUACUACCUGAACACACCUGGUCUUACCUGAUCUUGAAAGCUAAGAAGGGUUAGGCCUGGUUAGUACUUGGCUGGGAGAUAACAGCUUCUUUUGUUUAAAGGGGGAAUCCCAGGGCAC